Molecule: unclassified non-coding RNA, 307 nt
Filed under: Hevea brasiliensis (rubber tree)
Lineage: Eukaryota; Viridiplantae; Streptophyta; Magnoliopsida; Malpighiales; Euphorbiaceae
Source: RNAcentral
CCAACAGCCACAAAACGUGCUUCUGUCUUGGCUGGAGGAGGUGAGACCUGCAAAGGUGAUGCCAAAGAAUAAGAAACAGUAGGACUUGCUCCCACACUUGGCCACCUUUUCUCAGCAGGCACUGCACUUUGCUGAGGUUUUGCCCACUCCAACUUUGGUUGUAUUCUCUUUAAAGGCUGCAGAUUUUUACUCCCAGACUCUGGAGAUCCUGCUACGGGAACCACUGUCUUUGUGUAAUUAAAAUCUUUGUCAUCUCUUUUUUGUUGUAUCAUAGAAGGUGGAUUGGAUUUCUGUUGUUGUUGUCUCA